Molecule: long non-coding RNA, 553 nt
Filed under: Cyanistes caeruleus (blue tit)
Lineage: Eukaryota; Metazoa; Chordata; Aves; Passeriformes; Paridae
Description: lncRNA (ENSCCEG00000016093.1)
Source: RNAcentral
UCUCUUGAGAUUAGUCUUCAGUAACACAGCUGUUAACUGACAGAAACUUAAAUAUGUCCUGUACCUUUGCAUUAUUGCAGCAUAACAGAGGUGACUGGGCCAUGCCCCCAAAAGAUCUUGUUAACAGCUGAUGGGUAAUGCUGCCAGGUCCAACCUCUUCCUAGCAGAAGAAAUUGAGAGAUACAUAAAUUGCUUGUUCUUCUAAAUUGCUGCUGGGUUUAGAUUAAUAGUUUCAAGGCUAUUACUUCAGGAUUCUCAGUUCACCAGCAUACACACUUAACCAACAGCCAAGCAAUAAAUCAAAAACAAAUGAUCACACCGACUGUUAUUCAAAUGUAUAAUAUAGCAUCGUCUUCAACACAGCAUCAUGCCAAGAUCCCCCAAUUCUUGCCAUAACGAACUCUUGUAUACACUUCCUGAAUGAAAUCUGAGGUAAGGUCUUUCUAAUCUAUCUAUACAAAUAAGAAACGUCUUUCAGGGCUCAGCUGCCAUCCUAAUUUUCAGCUGUAAUUAUGUCAACAUUCUUUUAUCUCUGAGCAAAGCAAAAUGUUAC